Molecule: ribosomal RNA, 468 nt
Filed under: uncultured bacterium
Lineage: Bacteria
Description: partial 16S ribosomal RNA
Rfam family: Bacterial small subunit ribosomal RNA
Source: RNAcentral
GACGAACGCUGGCGGCGUGCUUAACACAUGCAAGUCGAACGGAAAGGCCCUGCUUUUGGGGGGUGCUCGAGUGGCGAACGGGUGAGUAACACGUGAGUAACCUGCCCUUGACUUUGGGAUAACUUCAGGAAACUGGGGCUAAUACCGGAUAGGAGCUCCUGCUGCAUGGUGGGGGUUGGAAAGUUUCGGCGGUUGGGGAUGGACUCGCGGCUUAUCAGCUUGUUGGUGGGGUAGUGGCUUACCAAGGCUUUGGCGGGUAGCCGGCCUGAGAGGGUGACCGGCCACAUUGGGACUGCGAUACGGCCCAGAAGGCUACGGGAGGCAGCAGUGGGGAAUAUUGCACAAUGGGCGGAAGCCUGAUGCAGCAACGCCGCGUGCGGGAUGACGGCCUUCGGGUUGUAAACCGCUUUCGCCUGUGACGAAGCGUUAGUGACGGUAAUGGGUAAAGAAGCACCGGCUAACUACGUG